Molecule: non-coding RNA, 13575 nt
Organism: Anas platyrhynchos (mallard)
Lineage: Eukaryota; Metazoa; Chordata; Aves; Anseriformes; Anatidae
Source: RefSeq, a predicted model, not a curated record
UCAAACAUACCAGUACUGUAUCAAAAACUUUUCUCUGCGUGGUGGAAGUGUAGGGAAUCCCACUGUCACCUCAGCAGAUUUUGGCACCAGGCGCACAGCAGUGCAGGACUGGAAGUCAAUGAGACUCGGGGACAGGCUUCAUGUUUCUUAAGCCCAAUGGCACUUACUGUGUUUAAUACGCCUUUAGAGCCUAACCUAGAGCUUUGCUGGAUUUAUAAUUAGUCACUUCCACCCUGCCUUAUUAAGCAAACAUUAGAAAACUUGACUCUCCUUGCCGUAUGGUUAAUCUCAGCCCUGUAGACAGACUGAUAUAUUGUCAAGUGCCACCUGCAUUCUUUUGACACUCAGAAUAAAACGCUGACAGUCAGUAUUUCACCACAAAUAGCCAGUGGUUAUUGCAUAAGUCUUUCAUCCUCACUAGAGGUUGUCAGAAAUCACAAAAGUGAUCAGAAUUCCACUUAUCAGAACUUUUUUUAGCUUCUGUUUUCCACAGUUACUGAAGGCAUACUUUUCUUUUUAGGGUUAAGCACAAGGUGAAUAAACAUGUCACUAGUGACAGUCCAGCUCGGACAGUGUGGUAAUCAAAUUGGUCGUGAGGUGUUUAAUGCUAUCUGCAGUGAUGUCCAUGGCACACACGGAUUGUGUUCCAAGAAGGAGAAUGAAUCCUACCACGAUGCAUGUAAAGAACGCUUUUUCAUCGAGGCAGAAUCUGGAGUACCUGUUGCCCGGGCUGUACUUGUUGACAUGGAACCUAAAGUAAUCAGCCAAACAUUGUCAAUAGCUGCCAAGUCUGGCUACUGGAAAUACGAUGAUCAUUCGCACUUCUGUCAGAAGCAAGGGUCUGGGAACAACUGGGCAAAUGGUUACACUGUUCAUGGGCCUAGACACAAAGAAGCAAUCAUGAAUCUGGUACAAAAAGAAGCAGAGAAAUGUGACCGACUUGGUGGAUUUUUCACGAUAAUGAGCAUGGCUGGUGGUACAGGAUCUGGUUUAGGAGCAUUUGUGACACAGUGUUUAAGAGAUGAUUUUCCAUCCUCAUUUAUACUAAACCAUGUUAUCUGGCCCUAUGGCACUGGUGAGUCAUCAGAUGCUCUUCUUGUUCACGAAAAUGAUGUCAUCCACAAGAUCUGUGCUCAGCUGAUGCAUAUGAAACAGAUCUCCUUCAAGGAUGUAAAUCAAGUCAUUGCACAUCAGCUGGGGAGUGUUUUCCAGCCCACUUACACAGCGGAAGAUGGCUUACACUAUAGCAGAAACCCAUUAGGAGAUUUAAUGGAGACAUUAGUUCCACAUCCUGAAUUCAAGAUGUUGGGUCUUCGUAACAUACCUCAGAUGCCUGAAAAUUCCCUUGCAUAUAGCACAUUCAGUUGGCCUGGACUCAUCAAACAUCUCAGGCAAAUGCUUAUUGCUAAUGCUGAAAUGGAAGAAGGUAUUGACUGGCAAGUACAGCCGCCACGUCCAGGCUCCUCUGUUCCCUCCAGCCAUUCCACAAACAAGCUGCCGCAUUUCAAUACUUCCAUUGCCAACCUGGUUAUCCUGAGAGGAAAAGAUACGCACAGUGCAGACUUAGGAAGUUUCCGAGAUCCUUCAUUAUAUACAUCAUGGUUAAACCCUCAGGAUGCUUUUAGUGCAUGGAAAACACCAAGAGCAUUUAACAAGUAUGAGAAGUCUGCUUCUCUGGUUAGCAAUAGCCAGUUCCUGCUGAAACCUCUUGACAAUGUUGUACGCAAAGCUUGGAAUAUGUUUGCUUCCAAAGCCUAUGUUCACCAGUACACUAAAUAUGGAAUUGAAGAGGAAGACUUCUUGGACAGCUUCACAGCUCUGGAACAAGUUAUCUCCAGUUACACCACCCUUUGAUUUUUGAAAUGGUCUCUUCCUGAAAGAAUCUAGCACUGGAAGACCUUCCAUCAGCUUCCUAAAGCCAGGAACAGGAGCACUAAACCCACCCCAGGAGCAACUGUUCUUAAAGUAGCUCUGGCACACGAGAUCUGGAACGGCAAACAAAUGUGUUGACAAGAUUCAAGUAACUGUACAAUUGAACCUGAAGUAAGUAAGUACCGGGGCUAAGUUCAGAAUUGCUCAAAUACAGAUAGAGCAAUAGCUGAUCACUGGAAUGGUUUAGUUUCAGUGCAAGCCACAAUGGAUUCUGAUAAAUUUCAUGGCAGUUUAUAGAUAAGCAAUAUUAAUCUCUUACAUGUUCAAAAAUAAAUUUAAGGAGCCUUUUACUAGUAGGGGAACUGUCAGCACACAACAUUAAGAGUUGAGCCUAGUCCAUGCAGAAAAAUUACCUGUGUAAAUUAAGAGCUAUGUUAGUGCUUCAGUUCAACAUCUGACUCAUUAGCGGAUCGUUUGUGGGUGUGGUUGGGGUUGAAUGCAGGAGAGAAGGAAAACAGGAGAAUGCAGAUGGGGUAAAUAUACCUGGUAACUUUUCAUAUAAAAAGACAUUUACAUUUAUGACAAGAGAUUUUGAAAAUACUCUUCUGGAAAACCACAGUACACAAUCCAACUCAGUCCGGAUUGCUUUCUGUUUUCACUCGGCUGCUUUAAUUCCUGUUUUAGGAACACCCUCUCAAAAGGGGAUGACACAAUAAUCAUGGUUCAACUACUCAGACAUGCUUCAGGCCCUAUACUGUUUGGAAGUUUAAAACUACUUCUAUAAUUACAUUUUAAUAUACAAGUAUUUAUGAUUAUUUCAUAUUUUUUCACUAAACUACUUCCUGGCAACUCGGAGUUAGGGGACUAUUAUGAUCAGAAGGGCUUUUCUGGUCUUGUAUUUUUGUCGGUUUAAACCAUUGUCUUUAACUUCAGCAUUUUCACACAAGAAACUGGAGGAAAGAUUGCAUAAGACAUUAAGAUAAACAGAAGGGGCAAUUCAAGUUUGCAAGGAACAAAGGGUCAGGAAAGCAGACAGUAUGGUGAGGUUCUCCCUCUUUCCUCCUUAAAAAGGCACAGGAUGUUUAGCAACAUAGAAAUAAUUUUUCCUAGUGUUUUCAACAGAUAAUGCUAUCAGACUCAGAACUUCUUCCAGUAUCAGAAAUGAAAAAUAUUCAUUUUUGAAAAAAAUAACUAAGACCCAGGAACACAUAUUCUUCCUCAGUGUUACACUGGAUAGGUAAAAGAUUUUAAAAAGCUUAUACAAAUAAGUCCUUCCAGAAGUAAGGAAGAGAGUAAGUUUUUGUACUGCUACAUCAAGCAACCUUAUUGCACAAAUAAUUUUGCAUUAUCUCUACGUAUUUAUAAUUCUGAGCAUGAAGCAAGCAAAGCAGGCACUUAGUGCAGGUGUGAACAACGUAGAGCCAUUUAUCCAUUCUUUAUAGCCACAUAUAUUAUUUAUGGCUUAUAUCACUUUCAGUUAAAAGAGCAGGAUAUUUAGGUUUCCUUAAGUUUGGCAGAAUUUGGGCCACAUCAGGAAACACAGCACACAGCUGAGGCUUAUAUCCCUAAAGCAAAAAUAAGGAUUUCCUUAUUUAAUCUCAAGUUACAGCAUAUGAACAGCAAGGAAGAAAAAUACUACAGCUCAAAGGCAGCACUAGGCCAGCAAGUUUGUUACUGCUUAACAAGGAUAAUUCUGCAGUAACUUGUUCACAAUUAGGAUUCAGGGAAAAUACUGCUUCCAUGCAAAAACAACAAUUUUCAAAGCAGCAAUAGAGGCUAAAGCCCAUCAGCCAAAUUUUGACAACAACAGACUUCUCAAAACUACAAGGAAACUGGAGGCAAAAACAGAACUGUAACUGUUGUAUUAGCUGCUCUAGUCCCUUUUGCUGGAGAAGAGAUUGUUAGGAAUUAUUUUAGGCCUUUCUAGGCUUCUUCCUGUCAGUGUUUUUCACUGCUGACCUCAGUUUUGAAAUUCUCACACCCUUUCCCAAACUAAGCCUUCAUUUUUUGAUCUAUGGCUGGAUUCCUCUAUUUUUUCCCCAGGAUGUGGAGAGGAGAGGGUCAUAGUGACAGGAAGUGAAUAACUAUUACUAAAUUUUCAUCAUCUAAAGUUAUAUUAGAAGGUAAAAUAGUCCUUUUCUAUUUUAUUGAGAAAAUUAAUUCUGUAAAGGAUAGCCUGAGCCUGGCAGAGGGCCUUUAUUUCAUUAGAAAUGUAAAUCAGUGAGGUAAUCAGAGGUCAGCACAAGCCAAUGGCUCACCGAGGCAGGGACAGCAGAAUCAGUGGCCUUGACCUAGCCAGUUUUAGGUGAACUACCCACAGGAUGUCUAUAAACCACGGAACAAUGCGUCAAAUCUCACUAUUGUUUUUUGUAAUGGACAGGUGCAGCACACUUGGAAGUUGCUUGAAGGACUAACUAUAGCAGAAAUAUUUAAUGAAUGGGGUAACUUUUAUUUGGUCACCAACAAACAGGACCAAAGUUUAACAUGUUACAAGUUCUUAAAAGGCAGUAACAGGCAAGUGACAGGGACCUGAUAUAAAUACCAUUUAUUUGGACUUACAUGUCAGUGCUUAUAAGGUAAGACUAAUUACCAGUAGAGAAAUGACAGAACUUUACUGAAUAUGUGUAGGGGCUUUUAAGAGGAUUACCUGCACUAAUUUACCAGACAGGAACAGUUCUAGAUUAAGGGCAAAAACCUGUGGUUUCCACAAAGACCAGGACUCUAUCGGUAAGAAAGAAGGAAGUUACGUAUUAAUUACCAGCCAAUACACAACUAGGAAACAUUAAGGUACAAAAGGGCAUUGAAUGAAUAAUUCAUUCCCUUCUGCAUUUGUUAAUAAAUUCAGUAUAGGUAAAUACUAUGAAACGACAGACCAAACGUCCAAAAUUAAGUAUUCUUUGAUGUCAGACUGUCCAAGUCCAAGUUUUGCUGUACACCACCUUAAAAAAACACCUAACAGUCAUCAGGAACAUGAUUCAUGGAUCUGAUGUGUUAUGAAAAGCUUCAGAAGGAACUGAGCUGCUGCCUUUCCUCUACUGCUUUCAAGGGCAACCCAGACACUCCUUUACCAAUACAGCAAAUUCCAGCGUAGGCUUCCUCCACAAGCCUGCCUCUGGGCUUCCUACCCCACCUCUGCCCACGCUCCAGAAGCAUGGCUUGGACACUCAGACAGCCUUUAACCCGCCUGGAUGUAGAGCUGAUAAUCCUGAAUUUUAACUAUAGAGCCUUUCCGGCUCUUUCAGUCGAACUGGAAGUUCACAAUGGACCCUUCUGAUUUCACAUUGUAUGAAUCCUCUCCCUCUAGACAGCCACUUCCCCUCUGUCCGGGUGGGGGUAAUGAGUCACCUACCUCAGUGAAUCAGCAGAACCUGCUUAACCCUUUCCCAGAAGCACGAACAGCUGCAAGUAGGGUGGUGUUUCCAACGAAUUUCAUUGCCAGUUAUACAGGGCAAAUUGGAAAUGCUGAAGAUAGCCUGAGAUAAGAGAUAAGAGAGGCUGCUUCUGCAGGAACCAGGAAAUUUCAAGACAAUUUUUGUGUGUAUGUUCCAUGACAGCACUCAUGGUUGCACUACAGUGAAUAAAUGGAAGAAGUUUAAACCUCAACCCCAUGGCUCAUACAUGCCUGAGAGAUUCUGAAUGGUGACUGCUAAGAGAGUUUAGCAGCAUAAAGCAAUGUAACAGGCCUCCGUAUGGAGCCACGUGAAUAAGGUUGCAGAAAGUCUUGUCUGCUUGUCUUAGAAGCAGUUUUUUCUUUUCUAAAUAUGGAGUGUUACACAUAAGAGAAAAAUAGGCAAGAUGAGGACUUUCUCUAGGCCAAUAUUCCCAUUUUUAAAGAAAAAAAUAAACUAAAAUAAGCCACUGGUUAAUAGAAAAAAGACAGAAGAAACAUUUCUCAACACUUCGUGUUUGAGCUUUAGUAAGCUGUGAGCUCGUUUCCCUAAUUAUACAUGAUGAGAAAUUAAUACCACUUAAAUGGUAUAUGUGCAUUUAAAUGGGUGCGUUCUCCAGAAAUGAUUAUUGUACAUAUUUGGUUACACAUACAGUGUAAUGUUUAUUCAAAGGCUCACAAAAAUACACUUCAUUUGCCUGAGAAUGGUGUAAUUGUGGUCAGAUGGCAUGAUUCAAUUUGAACUUUUGCCCAGCAGGCUCCAAUAUGUAAUAGAUCAUUUACUGAAGCAUGUAAGCAGAACACCACUGGAGGAGCCAAAUGGAAAGCAGCCUUAUCCCACAUGCUGAAGGUGUAAUAAAAUACUGACUCUGUACUUCUUGGUUGGCAAGGGCAGCUGUAGGUUCAUUAUAAUAUCCUCAAUAAGAAUGGUCAGAGCUGGGCAGUAGUUCAGAGCUACUGCUCUCCAGAUGGCUCAGAACAAUACCAAGUUCGAGAAUACGUAUUCCCUUGUAAGCCUGCUUGCUGCUGGAUGGCAUGCAUUCUUACCACGUGCAAAGAAAACACUGGGAAAUUUCCUCCUCACCGCACUUUGAGCAACUUCAACCUGUAUUACAACGUGACUCUGAGUCACCUGGACAGCAAAUGUUUCAUACAGCUAUUUGACACUGUAAGUUAGAAAUUCUCCUUCCGAGGCUGAAUUUUGGUGGAGAAACCUUAUACUAGUGUUUGGCAACUGAUGAACAGAAAUCCAAUUAAAUACUCUUCUCACAAGAAGAAAGCUUCCAUUCCCUCCCUACUACUCCUUAACUCAGGUUUUCAUAUCAUAUUAUUUUCCUCUAUAAAGAUUUAGUCAGGCUUCUCCACAAACCCAAUAUUUUCAUAGUGUAGUAUAACUGUAUGCAACUAGAUCUAAACCUAAUGCAGACCGUGAAAGGAUAGCCUAUUUUUCAGUGCAUAAAGGAAACUGAACGUGCUUUAGUACACAUGGGAUCCUGCUCAAGUCGAACAAAACUCCAGUCAACAGUCAAGCCUGAACUUGUCCAAAAAGUGCUAAGCACCAAGGACAGUCAGGGCUACAAGAAGAACUGAGCAGAUGAGCCACAAGUAACCAUUUUAAGCUAGGACUCUCAGGCUCAGGUCUGCCAAAUAGUUAAGCGCUUUCAUUAGUCAUUUAAUCAGAACGAUCAGCUCGCUCAGAGCUGAAAUCUUUUGCCAAAGCCCCGCACAGGAGACUUCCACACUUCACUUAAAAAACACCAGGCUCCUGGUGAGCAGCCAUCACAUUUUUAGUUCGUGCAGAAGUGCUGCAGUGUGAUUUGCCACAUGCAGAAGUGGUUAAGACAAGUUUAUAUACAACUGUUAAGUGAGCCAACAGAAUUAGGAUCACCAAUUGCAUUAGCAGAGGUCUAGUAGAAAUACUGCUUUGAACUUUUUUUUUUUUGUCAACCUUUACUUUGAGCUUAACUAAAUACUUGCUUCAGGCAUCUUAAAAAGUUUCUCUUCCUGCUGUUCCCCAUCUCAAGUCUCCUUAUGCAACAGGCACGGGCACAUGUGACCAGGUCACAAGAGGUCAUCUGGACUGAAGUGAGACACGAGGAUCAUGGAUUCAGAAAUGCAAAAUUUGUUUUUAUGGAAAUAUUCUGAAUAUUACAGCUAUCAAGAAAACAGCUGCAGCAAAUGAGAAACACGGCAGAGUUUUUGUGGACACGGCUGUACAGAGUUGUAAUCCUAAAGGUUCAUUUUUCCUUUAAGCAAGUCCAGUUUCUUUCAGAUGCAGAAAAGAAAUGCCGAGCACUCAAAAUUGCUGUUUCAAGCCUUUUUCAAGGCUUUUAACAGAUGGAAUGAACCUAAUAAACACAUAGUCUCAGGAAAGACAAACGGUCCCUUAAAACUCACAUGGUUCCUACAUGCAAGUGUGAGCCUCAAAUGAAGUAUUUGUGGUUUAGUUAGCAUGAGUUAAUUUUGCAAGAGAAUUGCCAGUCUCUUUCCUGACAUGUCAGAAGGAAAACAGAGGUACCACAAAGUCACUGCAUACAAACAGAACAAGCUCUGGGAAAAGCAUCUGAUCUUUAAAAAAAAAUAAAUAUUAGACUUUGUCAAAUGGUUCAAAGCAGAUCUUAACCUUCCCAGGCACACAGGCCACUGGUGGUGCCCAACUAGCUUGGAGCUCUGGCUGACACCUGCCGUAUCAGGGCUUCCUUCCAAAGAAAAGACUUUAGAUCUUAAAUUUCAUGUAGGUUGGCCAGUAUCCAAGCAAAUUCAUGGGUGACUACCUGCAGACUGAUGUCAGCAAUACUGUGAUCGCGUAAAACCAGGCUGACACUUCAGCGUUGAUAAGUUUCCCUAGAUUUGAGAUGCCUGAAAUCACCUACAUCAAACGCAGUCCUUCCCCCACAGGAUCCCUCAUGGAGGAGGAACACAGGAGUCACAGAGAGAAGACACCUUUUACAUGGACAGAAAAGCAGUUUGAGGCCACCAGGAGAUGGGUGCGGUUUGCAGAUCAGCUAUCGGAGCGGGGAACAAUGCACUGAGCUGACAAGUCCUAUCUCCUGCUUUUCAUCAGGAAAUAGCAGCUAGUUUCCUUAUUACCAACUGCCUGGGCAACUCAUUUAAGUUUCUUGGAAAAGCAGAACAAUUAAGCCGGCAGUAACUCCCUUGAAACACGGAAGAUGCAGCACCCUUACAUAUCCAUAUCUGAACAGCUCGUCAAAUGAGGUUUAAAGAAAGGUGACCUUUGAUUUAAUGCUAAUGUAGUCAAUACUCUUUGAAUCAUACCGUGAGUGAAUAAUAAAAAACCCCUCCAGCAGUAAAAAGGUCAGCAGUAAAAAAACAAAGCUUGGGCCAUUUAACAGGUUCACAAGGGCAUUUCUUAUUUUUUAAUAACACAACUGAACAUCACUGGCAGUGAAUGGGCUGAAUGACUUCAGAGCCCAACAGGCUCUUCAGUUUGGAUUCAACACACAGCCAUACUCAGCUUUUUUGACCAAAAUACCCUUUGGCUGAAUUCCUGCUGCAUGCCAAGAAGCCCAGCACAGCUUGCUGGGCAGUUCCUGUCUGCUUUUACCUGGACAGCCUUCAGACAUGCGAUGACAGUUUCUGCACUUUGACAAGUGGCCCAUGUUGUCCCAGGCUCUCCUAUUCACGCCACUACCAAAAUAUUGCUGUGCUGCCUUUUUUUAUGAAAGCUGAGCAGAUGCACCAAUGAGCAAGUGAAACAGAUAAAGAAAUGCCAGGUUGCUAGCAUUCUGUGCCCUCAAUUAGAAAUCUGAAUGACAAAGCCACAGCUCAGAGUUUUUCUGCAUAAUCCCUUUAAAAAUGAGUUUGCAAGAGCAUAUGCAAAUAUUUACCCUCUAUCUGGUUCUGAACACAUUAGCAGGCUGUUACACAAGGAAAGAGAUUGCUUCACUCCGUUUCCUGAAGAGGUUCCAGCAAUCCACCAAGGUUCCAGCAAUUAAACCCUCACCUGGACCAGUCUAGGGCGAGAGCCCAGCAGGAAGCCCUCCCUGGCUCUCCCCCCUUCAUGCUCCACUUAAUGCUGCAAUCCAGUCAAGGCUGGGUAAAGUACUUACUGUGUAGUUUUUUCUUCUUCCCCUCCAAAGAAACAAAAAAUUAAAAAUUACAGAAAAAAAAAAAGAAAUUUAAAUCCCAGAAGAGCAAUUUCAAUUACUGCAUGUGAUUACAUUGAACCUUUUAACUGCUGAUUACAGAGCUGUUUUUUUAACCAUGUGCUUCAAAGAAAACUGCAAUUAUUUUUACCUCCAAUGAACACACCCAAUCACCACUUAUUUCUACACCUGCAAUAAAUUUUGUCCACUAACAUUUAUAUUUGUGCUUGAUGAUCACAGAAACAUCCACAGUAUUUGUGCUUGCAAUUAGUGCUGCCUGCAGCGAGGAGGAGGCAGAUUCUAACAAAUUAAAUAAUGAAAUCCAAAAGCACAGCAGGGAAGGACGUUCAGGAACGGCAUUAAGCCAUCUUCAAGUAUUAGUGACAAGCAUCUCUUAGCAUGACAGGCAGCUGGGUGAUUUUAGAGGGAAGGGCUUUAACAAGCAGCACUGUGACACUGGGGCAGAGGGAAGGACUUCCAGGCAGAGACAGGGAGCAAGUCUCCCGGGGGCUUUUACGGAGCUAAAUGUGGUGUGGAACUGGGCAAUUCCAUCUGACACGGCCCGUCCCAGUCUGCUGGCCCAGUGCGACCGUUCCUGCUUGGUUUACAUCAGCACAAUCCUUCUUGCCCUGAUCAGGUACAUCGUGGCUGCCCCAGAGGGGAACACGCCAGCCAGCGUGCUCACGGCUCAGCCAGCCUGCGGAGUACAUCCAGGAGGGACGAGUGACAGGUCAGGUGGUAAGGGUGCAAAGAGGGGAUCCUCUGUGAUCCUGUCUGACCUCAGCUCUGAUGCACUGUGUGGAAUUGCUGGCCAACUUUCUGCUUAGUUUCCUAUUUACAGGGAGUGCAUUCGUGAAAGCAGAGAUUUAGCCAUGUUCCAGAGAUAAGACUAAAAUAUCUAACACCUCAAGGUCAUCUUUUGCUUGUUUAACCACCCAUUAGUUGUUAUGAGGGCUAUUUACUUCUGUGUAGUUUUUAAUUCCAAUAAUAAUUUAUUAUUCAGUGUCUAAACUGCAAGAAGAAUCAGAUAAAUUACAGUGACACGUGCUAAGGUUGCUGCUCUUGUGACAGAGCUCUCUUUGAAUCCUUCUCUCACCCAUUUUAAGCUACCUGAGUGACUGCUUCCAGUGUAAAAUUGAAAAUAUAUACAACGAAAGGAAACUUUGGGUUAAGGGAGCAAAACACAUUUUCAGCAGAAAUGCUAAAGGCUCCAUCUCUGAAGCCACUAAACGCAAUUGGUAAUUUAUCUUCUAUAUUCACACUCACUAGAGAAUGCUUGAAAUAAGUUUCACAGCACAACAACCGAAUUCAAUAUACAAAAACAGAAACAAUCCAGCUGAAAUAAAUACGGGAAAUCAGUUAUUUGUUUAUUUAAGCAAACAUAAAACUUUCCAUUUUCAAAUCUCACUAGGUUUGCAUAACUUCCAUUUCUAUGACUUGUUACCUUUUACCAAAAUCACACUCUCAGUGACUGAACAGGCAGAAGCAAGUAGAAUGAGCAGUCCCUUGGUUAAAUAUUUUUAGAAGCUUCAAAACAACAGCAUAGCUCAUCAGAAUGGAUGCAUACAAACACAACUUGCAGAACAGUAUGUAUAUAUUUCUCACUGUAUGUGUGUAAACAUAUGGAAAUACAAGUGAGAGGAAAGCUUUCAGUCUGUCUAGCAAUUUUUCAAAACUAAUCGGUAGGCAGGGAGGCAUAGUUAUAACAAGACUGCUAAGGCAUUUAGAAAGGCAUUAGUUACUGGGUCAAGCUUAGGAAGUUGUUUUUUUUUUUCUCCCUUUGUAAUUAUUACAAUUUCCCCAUCUCAGGAUGACAGCAUACAGGAACCUAAAUAAGUAAAUUUCAUUUACUCUCACAAAAGACCAUGAGACACUACUACAACUGUGAAGUCAAUGCCAGCGUCCUUGGGAUGAAUGGCAGAUUUGAGGAAAAACCACUGCCACUAACACUGGGGAAGGCUGCAAACAACUGUUUCGUUAAUCCAAACACCCUGAAGAAAAAUCAAAGAGCUAUGAACUGCUGGCACAAUCUAUUACAAUGUGCCAAAUUAACAUUUUAGUAGACUGAAAAAAGUAAAGUAUCAAAAAGAGCUAUGAUUUUUUUUUUUUAAUAGGUAUUGUAUUAGAGUAAGUUCUUUGCUACAUUAUUGUCAAAGACCUUAUUUAGGCCAAAAAGAAAAAAAAGCUACUAUGGCCAAGAAUUAAGAAAUUCUAUUCGUCUUUUAAAAAUCUUUGGGGCAAAUGAAUGGCAUUUAUACUUUUAACUAUCUCACACUGCCUUCCAGCACUCCGAGGUUUAGAUAUUUAAUGUAGUCAGCAGCUCUACUGAGAAAGUCCAUAUUACAAGCCUCCCCCCAUUCACUCAGUAAGAAUGUUUAGAGUUAUACAUGAAGCAUACAAAAUAAACAUUACAAACCUUACACACAACUGAGAUGAACCUUGGAAAGAUGCUUGAUGCAUACUGCUGCACUGCGAGACUUCUGCACUCAUUUCCACCGGAACUGAAAACAUUUAUAUGCUACUGAUGUUCAAUGAAAACAGUUGGAGAUGGAUGAGCAAACGGUCAGAUGAAAGAUACCAAAAUGUCAGACAGCCUACCGACUGUUGUUGCCAUGAGAUCCAACAGUCAACAUCAGUCUGAUAAGCUAUCCGACAGGAUGGUACAGCCAUGGAGAUGUCACGACGGUUGGCAACACAAGAGGACAUUCAGGCAGGAUUGAACAUAAUACUUAUUCUCUCACCUUGCUCAAGAGCUGCCCUACCCGAAUACAGGGAUAAAUCUGACCUAAGCAAGAACAAAAUCUAGCUACUUUGUGCUCAUAUUCCACCUUUUGAUAACGCUAAUUCAAAUUCUCGUUAAUGCCCCAUAGGAUAAAAAUGAAAAACAACAGUUCUGAAGUUGUUAGAGUUGCAAUACAUACACUGUAGCAGUGGAAUGGGCAUCUACUUAUUGAAGACGGAAGAGAUCAGUUUUGGUAUGGGUUAUGUCGUACACAUCACAACUGGAACACACCAAUCAUGUUCUAUAAAUGUCUGAAUUUUAAAGCAGAACUGUAAGGUUCCCUAUGGCUCUACACAUCAUUGCUGGGUUAGACACCAAUUCUGUUCUCAGAUGGAAUCUUUGCUCUUCAUUGCUCGUGGUGCUGUGAUCAGUGGCAAAUGUCUACAAAGACUUUGUGCUAACAAACACAGCUAACCAGCUAAUUUGCCUGCAUGAGACAUACUUCAAGUUAUUACCAGUGAGCCAUACAUCAAGUUAUUUGCUUUCUACUUUCUUCUGCUAAGUAAGAAGUUCUUAAAGAAAAAAAACAACCAAGAAUAAAGGGCAGUUUCAGCACCAUUUGUGCAGGAAGGAUGAGUAAAGCAUGCACUUCAUGGGAUUAAGGCUUAAUAAAGAAACUGAGUAUACAAAAGUGGAGAGGAAAAGUAACAGUUUAAAAAGACUGACACAAGAAAUUCUGGAAUGAUCAAAGAUGACUUUAUAAAGUUUUAUCUUAACUUCAUUCUAAAUAUACAGAAUAAAAAAUGCCAGCUUCAGCAUUUUGACAUUAAUCAUAUCUGUUAACAUCAUGAAGAUUAAAGGGUGGCUUUUCCAACCGAGAGCACGUGCAAUGCAAUGGGACACUGGAGAAUUGAGAUGGAAAAACCUUACCAUGAGGGACAUGCAACAGUUUUUACCCAAUCUGUAUUAAUUUAUAUACAUUUUGAUGGUCUUGAAAGUUAAGGAAAAAGCAAAACAGCCACCCAUCAAAAUAAAAGUUACCCUCAGGUCAGCCUGAAGUUAAAUCAGGAAAUAUUAAAUUGGUUUUGGAAGUAAUUUGGAUGGACAACAUCUGUGUUAAACAUUUCACAUCACAUUGUCCAUUCCAUAUGUCCAUAACACAACCCAGACAUGUAAAGCAUUUAUACCUUACCUUAAUAUCUUUAAGUUUGUCAAUGAAACGUCUGCUCUAAUAGUCAAAUUACUUUCAAAUAAAAUAAAAACCUGUUAUAGUUGAAAAUUGAUGUUAAAAAGUUUUUCCCCAUUUUGAAUAAUGCUGAUUUUUAAAUAUAUGGAAAGAUGUGUCAUUUUUCAUGUCUGUUAAAACCCAGCCCAAGGGUUUUUUUUUUUUCCAAGCUCAUUUGGUUUUUUCUUCAGAGUACAUCUUCUGUUGCAGUCGUUUGGCAUAGCUUUGGGCCAUGGAGUUGAUUAUAGAUAAGAUAAAAUAA